Molecule: long non-coding RNA, 1377 nt
Organism: Erinaceus europaeus (western European hedgehog)
Lineage: Eukaryota; Metazoa; Chordata; Mammalia; Eulipotyphla; Erinaceidae
Exons: 2
Source: RefSeq, a predicted model, not a curated record
GAAACGGCAGCCGCUCAGUCCCGCGGCGGAUCUCGCGAGGUCAGCUGGCGGCCUCUGGGGGCAAGACCGUUAUUACGGUCGGAGGGAGGGGACGCAUGUCACUUCGGGGAACCCCGCGCGAUCCGCCGCGGGUGCCGACGGGAGAGCCGCUAACCCACCGGAAGCACUGCGAAAUACGACCGUCCGCCCUUGCGCAAGCCUCUUACAUCGAGGACGGACGGACGACUCCUUCCGCGGCUGCCGGAUCUAAUUUGGUAGCUCUUCCGAUUGUCGACCUCCGCCCUGCGCGAUGACGUAUAUCCCCGCCCUUCGCUCGCAGGCGGUGGCCUGUGAUGUCACAGCGGGCGCCUCUUGUGGUCGCCGGGUUGAGACUUGGUAGCUGGGCAGGGGCGGGGCAACGCUGUUCUCGCCGCCACACCCUCCCUUGUUGUAGAGGGGUCGCCGCUGUCAUUUAUUGACAUUUAAAUCUGAACCGGGCGGAUUUCCUUUUUUUUUUUUUUCCCUCCUCCUCGGGCAGCGCGUUUAUCGGUGGCCGGCGGGGCUCAGUCCUCCUUGGGAAUUUCCUGAUCAGGGUGGAAAGCGGACAUCUGAGCGGGGUGUGUCCUGCCAGGCGGCGAAAAGUAGCGGCGAAAUGUGCGCUUGCAGCUUUGGGGGAGUUUGUGUCGCUCAGUUUGCUGUUACUCGCCGCCGUCCUGGAGGCUGGAGGAGCGGCGCCUGGUCCGCGGGGGAGAAACUGAUGUGAUUUCGGAGUACUUGACAUUUAAUUUUCUUUGGACCGGCCCCGGGGAGAGAGCUUGAGAAACUGGAGAGGAAAAGCUAGUUGAGGGGACCGGGUGGUGGCGCACCUGGUUGAGCAAAAACCUGGGUUCGAGCCCCCCCCCCCCCCCCCCCCGUCCCCACCUGCAGGGGGAAAGCUUUGCAGGUGGUGAAGCAGUGUUGCAGGCGUCUCUCCCUCUCUAUCACGCCUUUCCUCUCGAUUUCUGGCUGUCUCUAUCCAAUAAGUUAAGUUAAAAAAAUUAAAAAAGAAAAAGCCAGUUGACCCCUCCCCCAGGGAUCAUGAUUGUGUGAUUUAGUUCUAAAAACAAGGCCACGGGGCCGCGGACAUCACGUGGAGUCAUUUCUGCGAAGACCAAGUUCCCCAAACAGACCAAAUGAGUUUGACUUCUCCCAAAAAGGAAAUCUGACCAGCACCGGUGAGGUCAUGCGCCUGGGGGCCUCUGUUCUGUGCUGUUCCUCCUCUGCCUAGAAAAGGAGCUUCUGUCACUGAACAGAAAUCAAUAAUGAAAGACCCUGAGCAGAAGUGGAAUCCAGGUCACGAGAAGGUCACACCAGUAACUGAUCUGCUUAAUAAAUCUGCCUUCAGGCUUGGGCAUCUUU